UUAAUUGGUAGCUCCUAAAUUUCUUCGCCACUUAUGGAUCCAACUCUAAAAAAAUUCCAGUGAUGGAAUGUGAAAUUGCAAAGAUACAAUGGAGUGCAAUCUUUUUUCAUCUUUUGAAGAAAGACAACCACAGAUUGAAACAUUUGGUCUUUAAGAGGCAGAAUGAGCUUAAAGAAUUUUACAGAGGAGUUCAAAUGGAUUUCGAUAGUGAAUCUGCAAGACAAAUCUUGACUAGUUUCAUUGAAUGUGGUACAAAUCUUGACUAGUUUUACAGAGNUAUUGUGUUUUGAAAAGUUAAUUGAUUUUUUCUAACCAUAGUUGUUCCAAACAGUGUACAUACUACAGGAAAAGCGCGAUUUAUCUACGACAUAUUACCGAAGGCCUUGAGGCCGUGGGUAAUGUUAUGCUUACCGAAGGCUUUUGAGCCGUCGGUAAGUUCCUUCCUGAUUUAAAACCUCAGUUGGGGUUUUCGUUCCCCAAUUUCACUUUCUUCAGCCUUCGUCGAGUUCGUCGUUUCCUUCAAACAAUUCCCUCCCUUUUCACGUCCCGCCUUUUCUUCACCCUCUCUCACUUUCUCGGAUAGUCCUGGUGGUGGUCAUUCUCGAAUAGGGUUCCUUCACGGUGCGUUCUGGUUUGGGAGUCUUGGGCUAGGGUUCGAGUGGUUACUGCGUUGAGGGCUGGUGGUGUCGAGGGUGAGUCUCCCGUGGAGGUGUGGUCGUUGGUGACGUGGUGUUUCCGGCAGGGUGGUGGGUCGUGGUAUAGCGUUUGUGGCAGUGGCGGUGCAUCAUCGUGGUCGUGGUCUGCAAAGGUUUCCAUCAUCGUGCUUUUUGUUUUCGAGGUAAUUUUUAUUUUCAAAAUUGAAUUUUCUUGGAGUAGAAAUUGUACUUGAUGGUGUUUGAUGUUGUUUUUGAUGUUGUUUUGUCUCUGUGACGGUGUGUGUGCUAUAGAAUUUGUGUCUCUGUGUUGUAUCUCUUUAUUACCAUUUCCAUCUUAUUUCUGAUUUCAUCGUGGUGACUAUUUAUGGCUUAUAAUUUAAAGAAUGGCUACAUUUUUUGAUAUCGUUGAAUGAAUCUUCUGUUCCAAAACUUGGAGGAUUUAGUCUUCUGCUUUUUUUAAAAGUGAACUUUACAUUAAUAUAUUUUUUGACAUAGUUAUGUGGCAUUUUUUGCAGUCGUAAACUUAACCCUCAUAGAUCUUCCUGGGCUGACAAAGGUUG
Molecule: long non-coding RNA, 1216 nt
Organism: Vigna radiata var. radiata (mung bean)
Lineage: Eukaryota; Viridiplantae; Streptophyta; Magnoliopsida; Fabales; Fabaceae
Exons: 3
Source: RefSeq, a predicted model, not a curated record